UACGUAGGGUGCAAGCGUUGUCCGGAAUUAUUGGGCGUAAAGAGCUCGUAGGCGGUUUGUUGCGUCGGCUGUGAAAUCCCGAGGCUCAACCUCGGGUCUGCAGUCGAUACGAGCAAACUAGAGUGUUGCAGGGGAGACUGGAAUUCCUGGUGUAGCGGUGAAAUGCGCAGAUAUCAGGAGGAACACCGGUGGCGAAGGCGGGUCUCUGGGCAACAACUGACGCUGAGGCGCGAAAGCUAGGGGAGCGAACAGG
This 253-nucleotide ribosomal RNA is filed under the name uncultured bacterium. RNAcentral describes it as "partial 16S ribosomal RNA". It matches the Rfam family "Bacterial small subunit ribosomal RNA", at positions 524 to 776 of the family's 1533-position model. The record is from RNAcentral.